AUUCCAGCUCCAAUAGCGUAUAUUAAAGUUGUUGCAGUUAAAACGCUCGUAGUCGGAUUUCGGGGCGGGCCGACCGGUCUGCCGAUGGGUAUGCACUGGCCGGCGCGUCCUUCCACCCGGAGACCGCGCCUACUCUUAACUGAGCGGGCGCGGGAGACGGGUCUUUUACUUUGAAAAAAUCAGAGUGUUUCAAGCAGGCAGUCGCUCUUGCAUGGAUUAGCAUGGGAUAAUGAAAUAGGACUCUGGUGCUAUUUUGUUGGUUUCUAGUACUGAAGUAAUGAUUGAUAGGGAUAGUUGGGGGUGCUAGUAUUGGCCGGCCAGAGGUGGAAUUCUUGGAUUCGCUCAAGACUAACUUAUGCGAAAGCAUUCACCAAGGAUGUCUUCAUCG
This 388-nucleotide ribosomal RNA is filed under the name Gephyrocapsa cf. oceanica. RNAcentral describes it as "partial small subunit ribosomal RNA". It matches the Rfam family "Eukaryotic small subunit ribosomal RNA", at positions 582 to 975 of the family's 1831-position model. Lineage: Eukaryota; Haptophyta; Isochrysidales; Noelaerhabdaceae. The record is from RNAcentral.